CCUACGGGAGGCAGCAGUGGGGAAUAUUGGACAAUGGGGGGAACCCUGAUCCAGCCAUGCCGCGUGUGUGAAGAAGGCCCUCGGGUUGUAAAGCACUUUCAGUGAGGAAGAACGCCUGGUGGUUAAUACCCAUCAGGAAAGACAUCACUCACAGAAGAAGCACCGGCUAACUCCGUGCCAGCAGCCGCGGUAAUACGGAGGGUGCGAGCGUUAAUCGGAAUUACUGGGCGUAAAGCGCGCGUAGGUGGCUUGAUAAGCCGGUUGUGAAAGCCCCGGGCUCAACCUGGGAACGGCAUCCGGAACUGUCAAGCUAGAGUGCAGGAGAGGAAGGUAGAAUUCCCGGUGUAGCGGUGAAAUGCGUAGAGAUCGGGAGGAAUACCAGUGGCGAAGGCGGCCUUCUGGACUGACACUGACACUGAGGUGCGAAAGCGUGGGUAGCAAACAGGAUUAGAUACCCCUGUAGUC
RNAcentral lists this ribosomal RNA (465 nucleotides) under Vreelandella stevensii. Its description in RNAcentral is "partial 16S ribosomal RNA". It matches the Rfam family "Bacterial small subunit ribosomal RNA", at positions 338 to 795 of the family's 1533-position model. Lineage: Bacteria; Pseudomonadati; Pseudomonadota; Gammaproteobacteria; Oceanospirillales; Halomonadaceae. The record is from RNAcentral.